This is a non-coding RNA of Pogona vitticeps (central bearded dragon), 409 nucleotides long. The record is from RefSeq and is a predicted model, not a curated record. Lineage: Eukaryota; Metazoa; Chordata; Lepidosauria; Squamata; Agamidae.
UGGGUCACCUCCUUGUCUUACCACCUCCUGAGACAUCCCAUCCUACCUUUCAGCCAUGAAGCUCUUGGCCAUCCUCUCAGCUGUUCUCUUCUUUGUCCUGAUGGCUGCUCCGGCAGUUGAUGGUGGGCCAUCAUCAAGCUCUGGAUGUCAUGCUGCUAGAGGCUACUGUUACUUUAUUGAUUGUCCACGAGGAAGAAGGCAAAUUGGGAACUGUGGCUCACUUAGACGUCCUUGCUGCAAAUGACCAGUUGCUGAUUAUUCACAUUCGCUUUCUCAGAGGCACUGAGGGUGGUCCUUCUGCUGUAUCGCCAUGCUCACUCCUAGAAUCAACGCUCAUUUGAGCUCUCAACAGAGUCUCUCUGAAUCCGAUUCUUUUUCUAUCCUUAUCAAUUAAAGAUUCAUCUGCAUU